UCCGGUUUGUCACCGGCAGUCUCACUAGAGUGCCCUUUCGUAGCAACUAGUGACAAGGGUUGCGCUCGUUGCGGGACUUAACCCAACAUCUCACGACACGAGCUGACGACGGCCAUGCAGCACCUGUGUCCAGGUUCUCUUUCGAGCACUCUCACAUCUCUGCGAGAUUCCUGGCAUGUCAAGGGUAGGUAAGGUUUUUCGCGUUGCAUCGAAUUAAACCACAUCAUCCACCGCUUGUGCGGGUCCCCGUCAAUUCCUUUGAGUUUUAGCCUUGCGGCCGUAGUCCCCAGGCGGGGCACUCACUGCGUUAGCGGCGGCACCGCGGGAGUCAAAGCCCGCGACACCUAGCACCCAUCGUUUACGGCGUGGACUAC
This 374-nucleotide unclassified non-coding RNA is filed under the name uncultured Pseudomonadota bacterium. RNAcentral describes it as "uncultured proteobacterium contains 16S-23S intergenic spacer region". The record is from RNAcentral. Lineage: Bacteria; Pseudomonadati; Pseudomonadota.